RNAcentral lists this non-coding RNA (33 nucleotides) under unclassified sequences. The record is from RNAcentral.
CUAUGGCGAAAAAGUUUGCCAUGGCGGGAGGAG